Molecule: long non-coding RNA, 330 nt
Filed under: Cricetulus griseus (Chinese hamster)
Lineage: Eukaryota; Metazoa; Chordata; Mammalia; Rodentia; Cricetidae
Description: lncRNA (ENSCGRG00015036020.1)
Source: RNAcentral
AGGGAGUGGGUGGGGAAAAGGGGAGGUGAGAGAAAGGACAUGGGUGGGUGCCUUCUGCCUGUUGGGAGGAAGAAAGCUCUUCUUAGUGCUGGCCAGGGUCUCUUGCCUCUGGAAGCUGCUGGAAACAGAAUGAUCCAGACACAACCCGAAGCACCAAGAGGUCAGCACAGCAUAUAGGCAUUGAGGUGGCGAGGAUGCGUCCCUGAAAGCUAAGAUGCCAAGACUUGAGGCAUGUUUGGAUACAGGAAAGAACCUGUUUGCAAUAUUACAUAUGUAGUAAAAAUUGUUUAGGCUUUGUUUGUAUCGAAAAGACUCCUUGAGGCAUAGACC